GAAGGUAUAGCUCAAGUGGUAGAGCACAUGCUUAGCAUUCAUGAGGUCCUGGGUUCAAUCCCCAGUACCUCCU
This 73-nucleotide transfer RNA is filed under the name Camelus bactrianus (Bactrian camel). It matches the Rfam family "tRNA". Rfam says of the family: Transfer RNA (tRNA) molecules are approximately 80 nucleotides in length. Lineage: Eukaryota; Metazoa; Chordata; Mammalia; Artiodactyla; Camelidae. RNAcentral also lists the same sequence under 2 other names. The record is from Rfam by way of RNAcentral.